Molecule: ribosomal RNA, 848 nt
Filed under: uncultured bacterium
Lineage: Bacteria
Description: bacterial SSU rRNA
Rfam family: Bacterial small subunit ribosomal RNA
Source: RNAcentral
AGAGUUUGAUCCUGGCUCAGGACGAACGCUGGCGGCACGCUUAACACAUGCAAGUCGAACGGAGUUAAACGAGAGCUUGCUCUUGUUUAACUUAGUGGCGGACGGGUGAGUAACACGUGAGCAACCUGCCUUUAGGAGAGGGAUAACAGUCUGAAAAGACUGCUAAUACCUCAUAACAUAACGAAGCCGCAUGACUUUGUUAUCAAAGAUUUAUCGCUUAAAGAUGGGCCCGCGUCUGAUUAGCUUGUUGGUGAGGUAACGGCCCACCAAGGCGACGAUCAGUAGCCGUACUGAGAGGUAGAUCGGCCACAUUGGGACUGAGACACGGCCCAGACUCCUACGGGAGGCAGCAGUGGGGAAUAUUGCACAAUGGAGGAAACUCUGAUGCAGCGAUGCCGCGUGAGGGAAGAAGGUUUUCGGAUUGUAAACCUCUGUCUUCAGGGACGAUAAUGACGGUACCUGAGGAGGAAGCUCCGGCUAACUACGUGCCAGCAGCCGCGGUAAUACGUAGGGAGCAAGCGUUGUCCGGAAUUACUGGGUGUAAAGGGAGUGUAGGCGGGAUGGUAAGUUAGGUGUGAAAUCUAUGGGCUCAACCCAUAAAUUGCACUUAAAACUGCUGUUCUUGAGUGAAGUAGAGGUUAGCGGAAUUCCUAGUGUAGCGGUGAAAUGCGUAGAUAUUAGGAGGAACAUCAGUGGCGAAGGCGGCUAACUGGGCUUUUACUGACGCUGAGGCUCGAAAGCGUGGGGAGCAAACAGGAUUAGAUACCCUGGUAGUCCACGCUGUAAACGAUGAUUACUAGGUGUGGGGGAGGCUGACCCUUUUCCGUGCCGCAGUUAACACAAUAAGU